CGGUGUUUAACUGGCGUGAUGUGGGACGUCCUACCGGUGGGCUUAGCCUCGCGAGGGGCGGCCCAACUAAUAUCCCGUCGCGGUGCUCUUUACUGAGUGUCGAGUCGGGCCGGUACGUUUACUUUGAACAAAUUAGAGUGCUUAAAGCAGGCUAUCCUCGCCUGAAUACUGCGUGCAUGGAAUAAUGGAAUAGGACCUCGGUUCUAUUUUGUUGGUUUUCGGAACCCCGAGGUAAUGAUUAAUAGGGACAGAUGGGGGCAUUCGUAUUGCGACGUUAGAGGUGAAAUUCUUGGAUCGUCGCAAGACGGACAGAAGCGAAAGCAUUUGCCAAAAAUGUUUUCAUUAAUCAAGAACGAAAGUUAGAGGUUCGAAGGCGAUCAGAUACCGCCCUAGUUCUAACCAUAAACGAUGCCAGCUAGCGAUCCGCCGAAGUUCCUCCGAUGACUCGGCGGGCAGCUUCCGGGAAACCAAAGCUUUUGGGUUCCGGGGGAAGUAUGGUUGCAAAGCUGAAACUUAAAGGAAUUGACGGAAGGGCACCACCAGGAGUGGAGCCUGCGGCUUAAUUUGACUCAACACGGGAAACCUCACCAGGCCCAGACACCGGAAGGAUUGACAGAUUGAUAGCUCUUUCUUGAUUCGGUGGGUGGUGGUGCAUGGCCGUUCUUAGUUGGUGGAGCGAUUUGUCUGGUUAAUUCCGAUAACGAACGAGACUCUAGCCCUGCUAAAUAGGCGUACCUUAUGGUAUCGCGAAGGCCCCCGGCUUCGGCCGGUGGGUUUUUACUACCAACGUACAAACAAAUCUUCUUAGAGGGACAGGCGG
This 820-nucleotide ribosomal RNA is filed under the name uncultured eukaryote. Its description in RNAcentral is "SSU rRNA". It matches the Rfam family "Eukaryotic small subunit ribosomal RNA", at positions 629 to 1426 of the family's 1831-position model. The record is from RNAcentral.